Molecule: long non-coding RNA, 406 nt
Filed under: Hordeum vulgare
Lineage: Eukaryota; Viridiplantae; Streptophyta; Magnoliopsida; Poales; Poaceae
Description: long non-coding RNA (HVUL_LNC000541)
Source: RNAcentral
ACUGGUCAUGCAAUCAGGCACACGGAUACAAGGAGUAUUUCACACAACUCCUAAUCUAAACCAUCACCUGUAUCACAUCCUUCAACACACAACCAGCAUCUCGGACCUUCGUCUACAACAGAUCCUCGUGAUCACAACGGUACAAAGUGUGGUAGUACCCCCGAACAAUCUACACCAGUACUGGGGACGUCGGGGUUAUCUCACCACUACCCAUAUUGAAGCAAUAACGAACACCCUCCGUUCUUAGGUACUCAGAAAUCUGAAUGAUGGCGAUGUGCGCGAUAAUCCCUGGAGCUCAACUCCCCUGAUACUUAGAGCAGAUAGGAGGCACCAGGACACGAUUCCGUCACAUCGAAAUCAUAUAGAUUUCGCAAACACCCGCGUGAUCCUAAAAAAAAUUUGAGCG